RNAcentral lists this transfer RNA (72 nucleotides) under Encephalitozoon cuniculi. RNAcentral describes it as "tRNA-Ala". It matches the Rfam family "tRNA". From Rfam's summary of the family: Transfer RNA (tRNA) molecules are approximately 80 nucleotides in length. Their secondary structure includes four short double-helical elements and three loops (D, anti-codon, and T loops). Lineage: Eukaryota; Fungi; Microsporidia; Unikaryonidae. The record is from RNAcentral.
GGGGAGUUAGCUCAGCGGUAGAGCGCUUGCUUAGCAUGUAAGAGGCCAUGGGUUCAAAUCCCAUAUUCUCCA